RNAcentral lists this ribosomal RNA (450 nucleotides) under uncultured bacterium. RNAcentral describes it as "partial 16S ribosomal RNA". It matches the Rfam family "Bacterial small subunit ribosomal RNA", at positions 29 to 523 of the family's 1533-position model. The record is from RNAcentral.
AGCGAACAUUGGCGGUAGGCUUAACACAUGCAAGUCGAGCGAGGCGUAAUAGUCGAGCGGCGAACGGGUGAGUAAUACAUGGGAAUCUACCCUGAAGUGGGGGAUAACGUUCAGAAAUGGAGGCUAAUACCGCAUAAUCCACAUUGGGAAAGCGUUGCAGCGCUUUAGGAUGAGCCCAUGGCUGAUUAGCUAGUUGGUGAGGUAAUGGCUCACCAAGGCGACGAUCAGUAGCUGGUCUGAGAGGAUGAUCAGCCACACUGGAACUGAGACACGGUCCAGACUCCUACGGGAGGCAGCAGUGGGGAAUCUUGCGCAAUGGGGGCAAUCCUGACGCAGCCAUACCGCGUGAGUGAUGAAGGUCUUCGGAUUGUAAAGCUCUUUCGGCGGGGACGACGAUGACGGUACCCGCAAAAGAAGUCACGGCUAACUUCGUGCCAGCCGCCGCCGUAA